This 87-nucleotide transfer RNA is filed under the name Candidatus Aminicenantota bacterium. RNAcentral's name for it is "Candidatus Aminicenantes bacterium tRNA-Leu". It matches the Rfam family "tRNA". From Rfam's summary of the family: Transfer RNA (tRNA) molecules are approximately 80 nucleotides in length. Their secondary structure includes four short double-helical elements and three loops (D, anti-codon, and T loops). Lineage: Bacteria; Candidatus Aminicenantota. RNAcentral also lists the same sequence under 1 other name. The record is from RNAcentral.
GCCGAAGUGGUGGAAUUGGUAGACACGCUAGCUUGAGGGGCUAGUGAGCACAUUUCGCUCGUAGGGGUUCGAGUCCCCUCUUCGGCA